UUAAUCCACUGGAAGUGCCACGAGAUGCGUUGGCUGAGAUUGAAUGCUUAUUCAAAAUUCCUGAACCUGAUCCAGUUAGUACUGGCGUAGGAAAGUGGUUUUGCUUAAGU
RNAcentral lists this non-coding RNA (110 nucleotides) under Staphylococcus microti. RNAcentral describes it as "TPP sequence". It matches the Rfam family "TPP riboswitch aptamer (THI element)". From Rfam's summary of the family: Vitamin B(1) in its active form thiamin pyrophosphate (TPP) is an essential coenzyme that is synthesised by coupling of pyrimidine and thiazole moieties in bacteria. The previously detected thiamin-regulatory element, thi box was extended, resulting in a new, highly conserved RNA secondary structure, the THI element, which is widely distributed in eubacteria and also occurs in some archaea. Lineage: Bacteria; Bacillati; Bacillota; Bacilli; Caryophanales; Staphylococcaceae. The record is from RNAcentral.